AUUGAACGCUGGCGGCAGGCCUAACACAUGCAAGUCGAACGGUAACAGGAAACAGCUUGCUGUUUCGCUGACGAGUGGCGGACGGGUGAGUAAUGUCUGGGAAACUGCCUGAUGGAGGGGGAUAACUACUGGAAACGGUAGCUAAUACCGCAUAACGUCGCAAGACCAAAGAGGGGGACCUUCGGGCCUCUUGCCAUCGGAUGUGCCCAGAUGGGAUUAGCUAGUAGGUGGGGUAACGGCUCACCUAGGCGACGAUCCCUAGCUGGUCUGAGAGGAUGACCAGCCACACUGGAACUGAGACACGGUCCAGACUCCUAAGGGAGGCAGCAGUGGGGAAUAUUGCACAAUGGGCGCAAGCCUGAUGCAGCCAUGCCGCGUGUAUGAAGAAGGCCUUCGGGUUGUAAAGUACUUUCAGCGGGGAGGAAGGGAGUAAAGUUAAUACCUUUACUCAUUGACGUUACCCGCAGAAGAAGCACCGGCUAACUCCGUG
Molecule: ribosomal RNA, 490 nt
Filed under: uncultured bacterium
Lineage: Bacteria
Description: partial 16S ribosomal RNA
Rfam family: Bacterial small subunit ribosomal RNA
Source: RNAcentral